GACGAACGCUGGCGGCGUGCUUAACACAUGCAAGUCGAACGGAAGGGCCCUGCUUUUGUGGGGUUCUCGAGUGGCGAACGGGUGAGUAACACGUGAGUAACCUGCCCUUGACUUUGGGAUAACUUCAGGAAACUGGGGCUAAUACCGGAUAGGAGCUCCUGCUGCAUGGUGGUGGUUGGAAAGUUUCGGCGGUUGGGGAUGGACUCGCGGCUUAUCAGCUUGUUGGUGGGGUAGUGGCUUACCAAGGCUUUGACGGGUAGCCGGCCUGAGAGGGUGACCGGCCACAUUGGGACUGAGAUACGGCCCAGACUCCUACGGGAGGCAGCAGUGGGGAAUAUUGCACAAUGGGCGGAAGCCUGAUGCAGCAACGCCGCGUGCGGGAUGACGGCCUUCGGGUUGUAAACCGCUUUCGCCUGUGACGAAGCGUGAGUGACGGUAAUGGGUAAAGAAGCACCGGCUAACUACGUG
Molecule: ribosomal RNA, 468 nt
Filed under: uncultured bacterium
Lineage: Bacteria
Description: partial 16S ribosomal RNA
Rfam family: Bacterial small subunit ribosomal RNA
Source: RNAcentral